This is a small nucleolar RNA of Medicago truncatula (barrel medic), 132 nucleotides long. It matches the Rfam family "Small nucleolar RNA U19". The record is from Rfam. NCBI's taxonomy places the organism in Eukaryota, Viridiplantae, Streptophyta, Magnoliopsida, Fabales, Fabaceae.
ACAUGACUUAGUUAGGGGGCAAAUAUUAAUAGAAAUCUAAUGUUUAUUAGAUUUCUCUCAAAGAUAGGUUGUUUAUUGAAGGAACAAUCUGUUCUGUUGUAUUAGUUGUUCUUCAAACACCCUUUCACAUUU